UUGCAGCACAGCUUCCCAUGCUGUUAUUUCUUUUGUAGUGAGGAUUGGUCCCCUGCAGUCUAUGAAGGAGGAGGGGGCGUUCCUUUCAAGAGGAGUGACCUCAGGGAUCCUCUGCCCUCUCAAUGCAGAGAAAACAGGGCUCCUGGACAAUGAUUGACAGCCCAGAACACCAGUCAGAGCAUUCCUACUGCUGCUUGUCCCCCACACACUUCCUGGAUUUUGUCCUAGCAGCUGGGACGCAGAUGACACAGCCAAUAAAAAGAACAGCAUCCAAGCCAGAAGUAGGACCUCUAGUAAAAAAAAAAGCAACUAUAUUUUCUAUGCAUGUAAUGUUUUUUUUUUUUGUACUCACAUAUUGUUAUACAUCAACAGUUUUUGACAGUGCCCAUUUAAUAUAAAUCAGUUAGAGGAAACUCCCUAGCAGACACGUGACCACUGUGCCCCUGGCUCCUCUUCUCGCUUAAAACUAGUACCGAGGCCCACAGAGGAGCACGCUGGCAUGGAGCGUUUAUCACGUUUGCUGCGUCAUGACGUCACGGCCGAUUUCUUACUUCUACGUCGGGCGCGCAGUAGGUUCGUUAAGGCAGGUGUGCUGUGGAAGCAGGCUGAGCUAUCGCCAUGAGAGCUAAGUGGCGUAAGAAGAGAAUGCGGAGGUAAGCAUUUACAAGGAUGUUUAUGCUUUGGUUAGGUGCGAGUCCACAAUAGCAAUGCUGCAUUGUGACUUUGUCCGUAAUGAUUGAAAAGGUGGUAUGUUCACACUUUAUUACAAUUACUGAAUACAAAUCAAGGAACAGAAUAAAUGGAAAACGCAUACAUAAAGUGUUUUUUCUUUUAUUGAAGUGGUGUUGCAAAUUUUAAAUUGUACUUAACGGAAACCCAAAUUAUGUUACGUACCUUGCUUAUAUUUGAUUUAAUUAAUAAAGUAGCCAUGUAGUCCUACUUA
This is a long non-coding RNA of Hyla sarda, 943 nucleotides long. RefSeq lists it as uncharacterized. The transcript has 3 exons. Lineage: Eukaryota; Metazoa; Chordata; Amphibia; Anura; Hylidae. The record is from RefSeq and is a predicted model, not a curated record.